AAGUCGUAACAAGGUUUCCGUAGGUGAACCUGCGGAAGGAUCAUUAAUGAAAUGAUAAUUUUUUGGGGUUUUCCCUGAAAAAUAAUUCACCUUUUGUGCACUGUUAAAAGAUAUACUUUGGUUAGAGCUUUGAUUUUCAUUUUUUUGAAAUCAACUUCUUGCUGACUCUAUCCUAUUAUAUGGGACAGUUGGCUAUGAAGCGGCCUACCAAGGUUUUUUAUCAAACACAUUUAAUUUAUCUGACCUAAACUACUAUAAUAAAAUCAUAACUUUCAACAACGGAUCUCUUGGCUCUC
RNAcentral lists this unclassified non-coding RNA (296 nucleotides) under fungal sp. Its description in RNAcentral is "partial internal transcribed spacer region". The stretch from base 1 to 46 matches the Rfam family "Eukaryotic small subunit ribosomal RNA", at positions 1786 to 1831 of the family's 1831-position model. The record is from RNAcentral. Lineage: Eukaryota; Fungi.